Molecule: long non-coding RNA, 2384 nt
Organism: Homo sapiens (human)
Lineage: Eukaryota; Metazoa; Chordata; Mammalia; Primates; Hominidae
Exons: 3
Source: RefSeq, a predicted model, not a curated record
AGUGAUCCUGCCGCCUCGGCCUCCCAAAGUACUGGGAUUACAGGCAUGAGGCACUGCGCCUGGCCUAUGAUGAACUGUCCUUCUAAAACGGGGAAAUAUGGACACAGGCACAUACAGAGGAAGACAGCUGAAGACACAGGGAAGAGGGGACCAGAUAUAAACUAAGAAGAGACACCUGCAGUGGAUCCUUCCCCCACAGCCCAGAAGGAAGUAACUCUGCCGACACGUUGAUCCUGGACUUCCAGCCUCCAGAACUGGGACAGAAUGGAUUUCUGUUAUUUAAGCUCCCCUCUCCCCAGCCAGUGGUGCUCAGUUACUGCCGCCAGGCAAAUUCCAUCACUACCUGAAUGCAGUGUGGGAUCCUGGAUGGGAUCUUGCCACAGAAAAAGGACACCCAUGGAAAAACUAAUGAAAUCCGAACGAGAUCUAUAGUUUCUAGUUCAGAGUAUUGCACCAAUAUUAAUUUCUUCACUUUGACAUAUGUACAAUGGUAAUGCAAGAUGUUAACAUCGGCUGGUUGUGGUGGCUCACACCCAUAAUCCCAGCACUUUGGGAGGCCAAGUCCAACAGGGAUGGAAUCCGUGGCAAAGUGGCGACCCAGAACAGGGACUUGAGGACGUUGCAAAGUGGCUUCUGAACACAGAGACCGGAGGACGUGAACGAAGAAGGUCGGCUGGAGCAGAGGAACCGAAAACGACAAGAUGAAUGGGGACCCCGAGACAAGCCUGCCAGCAGCGGAUAUAAGGCAGGCACUCUUGAUGUGGAAAACUGGAACAGAGCGGGAGAAGGAUUGAAACAUGCUCAUCAAAAAGGUCUUAAAGUUGAUUCUUCUGCUUUCUGUACUUGCAGUCUAAUUCGUACUGUACUUAUGCCGUUAUCUCCUUAUUAUUCUGCGGGACAGCAGGCUGAGUCUAAAAAUCUGAAAGAAUCUGUUGUCCCACCCACAGCUUCAAUUGAAAAUAAAAAACAGGAGAGGGAGGAUAAAAAUUGGCCUAUACUGCCUCCUCCAGUUGCAGAAACAUCUGUGCCGCCUCCUUCGGUAGCAGGAAUAGAGACCCCAAUACAAAGAAUUUUACGCUCUGCUGCCAUAGCUGGAGAGCCCUCAGGACCUUGUGCUUUUCCUAUUUCCGUAAGGCCCGAUUCAAAUAAUCCACAGCAGUUUAUUCAUGAACACACCCCACUAGAGUUUAAGUUGUUGAAUGAAUUAAAAACCAGUGUAGUUAAUAUCGGGGUACAGAGCCCAUUCACUUUAGGAUUGCCAGAAUCUGCAUUUGGUGCUAUGCGUCUUCUACCCUUUGAUGUAAAACACUGGGCUCGAACUUGCUUGUCUGCUAGUGCAUAUCUGACAUGGAAUUUAAAUGGGCAAGAAAUGUGUACAGACCAGGUUAGACAGAAUCGUGCUGCUGGACACGGAGACAUCGCAGAGGAUAUGCUAUUGGGUAAUGGCCCUUAUUCAGACCUGGAACAUCAAAUGGAACUAAACGCGCCUGGGCCACAAUUCCUGAAGAGGGAGUCCCAGUACAAUCCUUUUUACCUUUCAUGGAAGGGUCACAGGAGCCCUCUGCACAAUUUCUUGCAAGAUUACGAGAGGCAGUGAAGUGUCAGAUUCCUCAUGCCACUGCCGCAGAGGCGCUAACCUUAACUUUAGCUUCUGAGAAUGCAGACGCAGAUUGUAAACGUGCACUGGCACCCGUGAGGUGUACUAAAAACUUGGGAAAUUUUCUCAGAGCUUGUCAGGAUGUAGGAAUUGAGCUUCAUCGCUCUGCAAUGUUAGCGGAAGCAAUGGCUGAUUUAGUAGUUGACAAAUCUAAAAGGAGCCAAGGAUUAAGCCCUCAAGUGGGAAAAUGUUAUAAUUGUGGAAAAACUGGACAUUUUGAAAAAGAAUGCCGCCAGAUCUCAGGACAGAGAGGACCUUAUAAUGCAGUACCCCCCCCCUCAGUGGAAAAAACGCCAGGACUUUUAUUUACUUUUAUUUACCCAAUAAAAUGUGAAGGGCUUUAAAGCUCAGGGCCCUUGUUCAGUAGAAGCAAGAAGCCCCCGACCCCUUUUUCCAAAUAUACUUUUUUGUCUUUAUCUUUAUUCCUGCAUUUAUCAUCCUCUGUUCACUACAACAGGGAUCAAGGUCAGUGACAGUUGCCGACAACCUUUGGCAUUCCUUGGCUUGCAGACCCUUUGCUCGACUCUCUGCCUCUUUUGUCACGUGGCUUUCUUCCCUCUUGCCGUUUUACAUAAUCUUCUCUCUGUACCUUUCUCCUCCUCAUAUAAGGACAUAGUGAUACUGGAUUAGGGACCACUCUCAUGACCUCACCAUAAUGUAGUUACAUCAGCAAAGACCCUAUUUCUCGGCUGGGCACAGUGGCUCACGUCUGUAAUCCCAGCACUUU